CCUCCUGCAAACAUCAAUGUAUAGGAGGUCUCACCUGCCCAGUGACAAGUUAAACGGCCGCGGUAUUUUGACCGUGCGAAGGUAGCGCAAUCACUUGUCUUUUAAAUGAAGACCUGUAUGAAUGGUAGAACGAGGGCUUAACUGUCUCCCUUUUUAAGUCAGUGAAAUUGAUCUGCCCGUGCAGAAGCGGGCAUAAUAAUACAAGACGAGAAGACCCUUUGGAGCUUAAGACUCCAGAUCAAUUAUGUCAAGAACCAGCCCAGGUUAAACCAAAUAACGCCUGAUCCUAGUCUUUUGUUGGGGCGACCACGGGAGAAAACAAAGCUCCCACGAGGACUGGACCCACCUCCAGAACCAAGAAAGACAUCUCUAAGUCACAGAACCUCUGACCAUAAAGAUCCGGCCACCCGCCGACCAACGGACCAAGUUACCCUAGGGAUAACAGCGCAAUCCCCUUUCAGAGUCCAUAUCGACAAGGGGGUUUACGACCUCGAUGUUGGAUCAGGACAUCCUAAUGGUGCAGCCGCUAUUAAGGGUUCGUUUGUUCAACGAUUAAAGUC
RNAcentral lists this ribosomal RNA (560 nucleotides) under Nedystoma novaeguineae (spoon-snouted catfish). RNAcentral describes it as "partial 16S ribosomal RNA". It matches the Rfam family "Bacterial large subunit ribosomal RNA", at positions 1819 to 2595 of the family's 2925-position model. Lineage: Eukaryota; Metazoa; Chordata; Actinopteri; Siluriformes; Ariidae. The record is from RNAcentral.